UACAGAGGUCGCAAGCGUUGUUCGGAUUCAUUGGGCGUAAAGGGUGCGUAGGCGGCGCGGUAAGUCGGGUGUGAAAUCUUGGAGCUUAACUCCGAAACUGCAUUCGAUACUGCCGUGCUUGAGGACUGGAGAGGAGACUGGAAUUUACGGUGUAGCGGUGAAAUGCGUAGAUAUCGUAAGGAAGACCAGUGGCGAAGGCGGCGUGCUGGGUUGCAACUGACGCUGAGAUGCGAAAGUGUGGGGAGCAAACGGG
RNAcentral lists this ribosomal RNA (253 nucleotides) under uncultured bacterium. RNAcentral describes it as "partial 16S ribosomal RNA". It matches the Rfam family "Bacterial small subunit ribosomal RNA", at positions 524 to 776 of the family's 1533-position model. The record is from RNAcentral.